Molecule: ribosomal RNA, 461 nt
Filed under: uncultured bacterium
Lineage: Bacteria
Description: partial 16S ribosomal RNA
Rfam family: Bacterial small subunit ribosomal RNA
Source: RNAcentral
CCUACGGGGGGCAGCAGUGAGGAAUAUUGGUCAAUGGGCGAGAGCCUGAACCAGCCAAGUCGCGUGAGGGAAGACGGUCCUAUGGAUUGUAAACCUCUUUUGUCGGGGAGCAAAAAGGCCUCGUGAGGCCACAAGUGAGAGUACCCGAAGAAAAAGCAUCGGCUAACUCCGUGCCAGCAGCCGCGGUAAUACGGAGGAUGCGAGCGUUAUCCGGAUUCAUUGGGUUUAAAGGGUGCGUAGGUUGUUUUAUAAGUUAGCGGUGAAAUACCGAUGCUCAACAUCGGGGCUGCCGCUGAUACUGUAGGACUAGAGAUCGGAUGCAGCAGGCGGAAUGUGUAGUGUAGCGGUGAAAUGCAUAGAUAUUACACAGAACACCGAUUGCGAAGGCAGCUUGCUAGGCCGGAUCUGACACUGAUGCACGAAAGCGUGGGGAUCGAACAGGAUUAGAUACCCCAGUAGUC